GUUAGGAAUAUUGGACAAUGGGCGCAAGCCUGAUCCAGCCAUGCCGCGUGAGUGAUGAAGGCCUUCGGGUUGUAAAGCUCUUUAGCCGAUGAUUAUAAUGACUGUAGUCGGAAAAUAAGCCCCGGCUAACUUCGUGCCAGCAGCCGCGGUAAUACGAAGGGGCCGAGCGUUAUUCGGAAUCACUGGGCGUAAAGCGUGCGUAGGCGGCUUUGCAAGUUGGGAGUGAAAGCCCAGGGCUCAACCCUGGAAUUGCUCUCAAAACUGCAAGGCUCGAAUUCGGGAGAGGAUAGCGGAAUUGUCAGUGUAGCAGUGAAAUGCGUAGAUAUUGACAGGAACACCAGUGGCGUAAGCGGCUAUCUGGACCAAUAUUGACGCUGAGGCACGAAAGCGUGGGGAUCAAACAGGAUUAGAAACCCGAGUAGUCC
RNAcentral lists this ribosomal RNA (425 nucleotides) under uncultured bacterium. Its description in RNAcentral is "partial 16S ribosomal RNA". It matches the Rfam family "Bacterial small subunit ribosomal RNA", at positions 354 to 796 of the family's 1533-position model. The record is from RNAcentral.